RNAcentral lists this ribosomal RNA (468 nucleotides) under uncultured bacterium. RNAcentral describes it as "partial 16S ribosomal RNA". It matches the Rfam family "Bacterial small subunit ribosomal RNA", at positions 28 to 507 of the family's 1533-position model. The record is from RNAcentral.
GACGAACGCUGGCGGCGUGCUUAACACAUGCAAGUCGAACGGAAAGGCCCUGCUUUUGUGGGGUGCUCGAGUGGCGAACGGGUGAGUAACACGUGAGUAACCUGCCCCUGACUUUGGGAUAACUUCAGGAAACUGGGGCUAAUACCGGAUAGGAGCGCCUGCUGCAUGGUGUGGGUUGGAAAGUUUCGGCGGUUGGGGUUGGACUCGCGGCUUAUCAGCUUGUUGGUGGGGUAGUGGCUUACCAAGGCUUUGACCGGUAGCCGGCCUGAGAGGGUGACCGGCCACAUUGGAACUGCGAGACGGCCCAGACUCCUACGGGAGGCAGCAGUGGGGAAUAUUGCACAAUGGGCGGAAGCCUGAUGCAGCAACGCCGCGUGCGGGAUGACGGCCUUCGGGUUGUAAACCGCUUUCGCCUGUGACGAAGCGUGAGUGACGGUAAUGGGUAAAGAAGCACCGGCUAACUACGUG